UACAGAGGGGGCAAGCGUUGUUCGGAAUUACUGGGCGUAAAGCGCACGUAGGCGGCUUUGCAAGUCGGAUGUGAAAUCCCUCGGCUUAACCAAGGAAGUGCAUCCGAAACUGCAGAGCUUGAGUACUUAAGAGGAUCGCGGAAUUCCCGGUGUAGAGGUGAAAUUCGUAGAUAUCGGGAGGAACACCAGUGGCGAAGGCGGCGAUCUGGGAAGAUACUGACGCUGAGGUGCGAAAGCGUGGGGAGCAAACAGG
RNAcentral lists this ribosomal RNA (253 nucleotides) under uncultured bacterium. Its description in RNAcentral is "partial 16S ribosomal RNA". It matches the Rfam family "Bacterial small subunit ribosomal RNA", at positions 524 to 776 of the family's 1533-position model. The record is from RNAcentral.